Molecule: ribosomal RNA, 482 nt
Filed under: uncultured bacterium
Lineage: Bacteria
Description: partial 16S ribosomal RNA
Source: RNAcentral
CACGUAGUUAGCCGGGGCUUAUUCAGCAGGUACCGUCAUUUUUUUCUUCCCUGCUAAAAGGAGUUUACAACCCGAAGGCCGUCAUCCUCCACGCGACGUCGCUGCAUCAGGGUUUCCCCCAUUGUGCAAGAUUCCUAAUUGCUGCCCCCCGUAGGAGUCUGGGCCGUAUCUCAGUCCCAAUCCGGCUGAUCGUCCUCUCAGACCAGCUACCCGUCAAAGGCUUGGUGCGCCGUUACCGCACCAACUACCUGAUAGGCCGCAAGCCCAUCCCAAAGCACAUAAAGCUUUAGACCAACCACCAGGCAGCGGUUGGACCACAUUCGGUAUUAGCAGCCUUUUCAGGCUGUUGUCCCAAACUUCGGGGCAGGUUGCUUACGUGUUACGCGACCGUUCGCCACUGACAGAAGAUAAAUCCUCUGCCCGUUCGACUUGCAUUUCUUAGGCACGCCGCAAGCGUUCGUCCUGAGCCAGGAUCAAACUCU